GACGAACGCUGGCGGCGUGCUUAACACAUGCAAGUCGAACGAAAAGAGGGAAAGAGCUUGCUCUUUCCGGAAUUGAGUGGCAAACGGGUGAGUAACACGUAAACAACCUGCCUUCAGGAUGGGGACAACAGACGGAAACGACUGCUAAUACCGAAUAAGUUCCAAGGGCCGCAUGGCCCAUGGAAGAAAAGGUGGCCUCUACCUGUAAGCUAUCGCCUGAAGAGGGGUUUGCGUCUGAUUAGCUGGUUGGAGGGGUAACGGCCCACCAAGGCGACGAUCAGUAGCCGGUCUGAGAGGAUGAACGGCCACACUGGAACUGAGACACGGUCCAGACUCCUACGGGAGGCAGCAGUGGGGAAUCUUCCGCAAUGGGCGAAAGCCUGACGGAGCAACGCCGCGUGAGCGAUGACGGCCUUCGGGUUGUAAAACUCUGUGAUCCGGGACGAAAAGGCAGAGUGCGAAGAACAAACUGCAUUGACGGUACCGGAAAAGCAAGCCACGGCUAACUACGUG
This 513-nucleotide ribosomal RNA is filed under the name uncultured bacterium. RNAcentral describes it as "partial 16S ribosomal RNA". It matches the Rfam family "Bacterial small subunit ribosomal RNA", at positions 28 to 507 of the family's 1533-position model. The record is from RNAcentral.